GAUGAACGCUGGCGGCGUGCCUAAUACAUGCAAGUCGAGCGAACGGACGAGAAUCUUGCUUCUCUGAUGUUAGCGGCGGACGGGUGAGUAACACGUGUAUAACCUCCCUAUAAGACUGGGAUAACUUCGGGAAACCGGAGCUAAUACCGGAUAAUAUUUUGAACCGCAUGGUUCAAAAGUGAAAUACGGUCUUGCUGUCACUUAUAGAUGGAUCCGCGCUGCAUUAGCUGGUUGGUAAGGUAAAGGCUUACCAAGGCAACGAGGCAUAGCCGACCUGAGAGAGGGAUAGGCCGCACUGGAACUGAGACACGGACCAGACGACUAAGGGACGCAGCAGUAGGGAACCUUACGCAAUGGGCGAAAGCAUGACGCAGCAGCGCGGCGUGAGUGAUGAAGGUCUUCGGAGCGUGAAACUCUGUUAUGAGGGGAGAACAGAUGUGUAAGUAGCCGAGGAGAGCUUGACGGUAACGAAUCAGAAAGCACCGGCUAACUACGUG
Molecule: ribosomal RNA, 497 nt
Filed under: uncultured bacterium
Lineage: Bacteria
Description: partial 16S ribosomal RNA
Rfam family: Bacterial small subunit ribosomal RNA
Source: RNAcentral